Molecule: ribosomal RNA, 640 nt
Filed under: Bacillus sp. CU47
Lineage: Bacteria; Bacillati; Bacillota; Bacilli; Caryophanales; Bacillaceae
Description: bacterial SSU rRNA
Rfam family: Bacterial small subunit ribosomal RNA
Source: RNAcentral
AAGUCUGACGGAGCACGCCGCGUGAGUGAUGAAGGUUUUCGGAUCGUAAAGCUCUGUUGUUAGGGAAGAACAAGUGCAAGAGUAACUGCUUGCACCUUGACGGUACCUAACCAGAAAGCCACGGCUAACUACGUGCCAGCAGCCGCGGUAAUACGUAGGUGGCAAGCGUUGUCCGGAAUUAUUGGGCGUAAAGGGCUCGCAGGCGGUUUCUUAAGUCUGAUGUGAAAGCCCCCGGCUCAACCGGGGAGGGUCAUUGGAAACUGGGAAACUUGAGUGCAGAAGAGGAGAGUGGAAUUCCACGUGUAGCGGUGAAAUGCGUAGAGAUGUGGAGGAACACCAGUGGCGAAGGCGACUCUCUGGUCUGUAACUGACGCUGAGGAGCGAAAGCGUGGGGAGCGAACAGGAUUAGAUACCCUGGUAGUCCACGCCGUAAACGAUGAGUGCUAAGUGUUAGGGGGUUUCCGCCCCUUAGUGCUGCAGCUAACGCAUUAAGCACUCCGCCUGGGGAGUACGGUCGCAAGACUGAAACUCAAAGGAAUUGACGGGGGCCCGCACAAGCGGUGGAGCAUGUGGUUUAAUUCGAAGCAACGCGAAGAACCUUACCAGGUCUUGACAUCCUCUGACAACCCUAGAGAUAGGG